CAAAGGCUUGGUCCUGACUUUUCUGUCAGCUUUAACUAGACUUAUACAUGCAAGUAUCCGCCCACCCGUGAGAAUGCCCUCUAGUCUUCUGCCCGAAGACACGGAGCAGGUAUCAGGCACUAUUAUUUAAGCCCAUGACACCUUGCUUAGCCACACCCCCAAGGGAACUCAGCAGUAAUAAACCUUAAGCUAUAAGUGAAAACUUGACUUAGUUAAAGUUAAGAGGGCCGGUAAAACUCGUGCCAGCCACCGCGGUUAUACGAGAGACCCAAGUUGACAGAAGUCGGCGUAAAGAGUGGUUAAGAGUAAUUAUAAACUAAAGCCGAACACUCCCAGAGCUGUUAUACGCAUCCGGGAGCCAGAAGCCCUUAUACGAAAGUAGCUUUAACUCUUCUGACCCCACGAAAGCUGGGAAACAAACUGGGAUUAGAUACCCCACUAUGCCCAGCCCUAAACUUUGACAGCAUUACACACCUGCUGUCCGCCUGGGUACUACUAGCAUCAGCUAAAAACCCAAAGGACUUGGCGGUGCUUUAAACCCCCCUAGAGGAGCCUGUUCUAGAACCGAUACCCCCCGUUAGACCUCACCCUCUCUUGUCUUUCCCGCCUAUAUACCGCCGUCGUCAGCUUACCCUGUGAAGGCCCUAUAGUAAGCACAAUUAGUACAACUCAAAACGCCAGGUCAAGGUGUAGCAUAUGAGAGGGGAAGAAAUGGGCUACAUUUUCUACCUUAGAAUAUACGGACAAUGAAAUGAAACACCAUUAGAAGGAGGAUUUAGUAGUAAGCAAAAAACAGAGUGUUUUGCUGAAGCCGGCCCUAAAGCGCGCACACACCGCCCGUCACUCUCUCCAACUGUUAACCAUAUUACAUAAAAAAUAUUAUAAGUAAAGGGGAGGCAAGUCGUAACAUGGUAAGUGUACCGGAAGGUGUACUUGGACAAA
This 942-nucleotide non-coding RNA is filed under the name Telmatherina celebensis (Celebes rainbow). Its description in RNAcentral is "12S ribosomal RNA". It matches the Rfam family "Bacterial small subunit ribosomal RNA". The record is from RNAcentral. Lineage: Eukaryota; Metazoa; Chordata; Actinopteri; Atheriniformes; Telmatherinidae.